CGCGGCCUAUCAGCUUGUUGGUGGGGUGAUGGCCUACCAAGGCGGUGACGGGUAGCCGGCCUGAGAGGGCGACCGGCCACACUGGGACUGAGACACGGCCCAGACUCCUACGGGAGGCAGCAGUGGGGAAUAUUGCGCAAUGGGCGGAAGCCUGACGCAGCGACGCCGCGUGGGGGAUGACGGCCUUCGGGUUGUAAACCUCUUUCGCCAGGGACGAAGCUUUUGUGACGGUACCUGGAGAAGAAGCACCGGCCAACUACGUGCCAGCAGCCGCGGUAACACGUAGGGUGCGAGCGUUGUCCGGAAUUAUUGGGCGUAAAGAGCUCGUAGGCGGUGUGUCGCGUCGGCCGUGAAAACUUGGGGCUUAACUCUGAGCGUGCGGUCGAUACGGGCAUCACUUGAGUUCGGCAGGGGAGACUGGAAUUCCUGGUGUAGCGGUGAAAUGCGCAGACAUCAGGAGGAACACCGGUGGCGAAGGCGGGUCUCUGGGCCGAUACUGACGCUGAGGAGCGAAAGCGUGGGGAGCGAACAGGAUUAGAUACCCUGGUAGUCCACGCCGUAAACGUUGGGCGCUAGGUGUGGGGACCAUUCCACGGUUUCUGCGCCGCAGCUAACGCAUUAAGCGCCCCGCCUGGGGAGUACGG
Molecule: ribosomal RNA, 644 nt
Filed under: uncultured bacterium
Lineage: Bacteria
Description: bacterial SSU rRNA
Rfam family: Bacterial small subunit ribosomal RNA
Source: RNAcentral